Molecule: long non-coding RNA, 317 nt
Organism: Lutra lutra (Eurasian river otter)
Lineage: Eukaryota; Metazoa; Chordata; Mammalia; Carnivora; Mustelidae
Exons: 2
Source: RefSeq, a predicted model, not a curated record
CACGCGGGAUUGCAGCGGCUGGAAGGACAAGGGGAGCGGCUGAGUGCAAGGACGGAUUCUGUUGGAUUCUGACCGAUGGGCUCGCGGGCCGGCCCUGUAGUGACUGACCCUGGCUCUUACGGACAGUGGCCUAGAGGGACCGACAGAAGGGCAAAGGUAAGCCGGAGUCAACUUGUACUGGCCGGCAAGAGCUAAUUGCCAAAUUUUUAGGAAUCUGGGAGCUAGUUGUCAAACAGCUGUUGUUGAAAAGUUCAUUGUGUAAACUUCCCCAUCACAUGGAUCAUAUUUAGACAAAGGUAAUAAAUACUCAAAAUGCA